CAGUUCGUCUUCAGUUUUGGUUUGGAGCUCAGUCACCUGCUUUCACCUGACUGGUUUUGGUGCUCUCCAAUAUGACAUAACACUUCUGAAACCAAAAAACCAGGGACGGCCGGUGUGCUGAACUCGAGGCUUCAAAAUAGCAGUCCACAAACCAAUGGGGGGACAUCACGCGCUGCUGGAGAUUGACAGAAAAGUGGGAAGAGAGAGGGAAAUGACAUGCAGCAAAGGGCCGCAGGUUGGAUCAAACCCGAGCUGCUGCAAAGGACUCAGCCUACCAGGACGUUCUACAGCAAGCACAGUUUUCUAAGUAAUCCUAGUGCUCUCUAUCCAAUGUGGAAGACUAUGAGAUGCAGCUGAAAGCCCUGGAAAUGCUGGUUGCCCUCUUGUUGCCACCUCGGCCUUCUUGUUGAUCCCCCUCUUCCUCUGUCUCACUUGUCCUCCAACGUCACCCUCCCCACCCAUCCUUGCC
This is a long non-coding RNA of Plectropomus leopardus (leopard coralgrouper), 469 nucleotides long. RefSeq lists it as uncharacterized. Lineage: Eukaryota; Metazoa; Chordata; Actinopteri; Perciformes; Serranidae. The record is from RefSeq and is a predicted model, not a curated record.